AGGGUUCGAUUCUGGCUCAGGACGAACGCUGGCGGCGUGCCUAACACAUGCAAGUCGAGCGGGGAUCAUGGAAGAGCUUGCUCGGAAAUGAUUCUAGCGGCGGACGGGUGAGUAACGCGUGAGCAACCUGCCUUUCACAGGGGGAUAACGCAUCGAAAGAUGCGCUAAUACCGCAUGAGACCACAGCGCCACAUGGCAUAGGGGUCAAAGGAGCAAUCCGGUGAGAGAUGGGCUCGCGUCUGAUUAGCUAGUUGGUGAGGUAACGGCCCACCAAGGCGACGAUCAGUAGCCGACCUGAGAGGGUGAUCGGCCACAUUGGAACUGAGAGACGGUCCAA
Molecule: ribosomal RNA, 337 nt
Filed under: uncultured bacterium
Lineage: Bacteria
Description: bacterial SSU rRNA
Rfam family: Bacterial small subunit ribosomal RNA
Source: RNAcentral